Small nuclear RNA from Ornithorhynchus anatinus (platypus), 108 nucleotides. The record is from RefSeq and is a predicted model, not a curated record. NCBI's taxonomy places the organism in Eukaryota, Metazoa, Chordata, Mammalia, Monotremata, Ornithorhynchidae.
GCUGUGCUCGUUUCGGCAGCACGUCCUAAAAGUGGAACAAUACAGAGAAGAUUAGCAUGGCUCCUCCGCAAGGAUGACAUGUAAAUUCGCAAAGCGUUCCAUGUUUUU